UUUUUGGUGUAUUUUAUGCGGUUAUAUUUUUGUAAACCACCCAGAGAGCUUUUUAAUGAUGGAUGGUCUAGAAAUAAUAGAAUUAAUGUUGAGGCCUGCUUCUUAAUCUGAAAAACAAAUGAGAAGGUUUUCAAAUACACACACACACACACACAGAGAGAGAGAGAGAGAGAGAGAGAGAGAGAGAGAAUCCUGAAAUAGGUGACCUGGGGGGAAUGGCAGACCAAUGUCUUCUCCACAAAAUUAUUUGACUGGCUUUUAAAAACAAAAUUGUUGACGUGAAGUCCCUGAUGUGAAUCAGGACCCUGGGUCCCAGGGGGUGCACCUACAAUUUAUUAUAAAAAUAUCAGUUAAAUGAUUGGCAUCACGUAUACAGUGGUACCUCGGGUUAAGUACUUAAUUUGAUCAGGAGGUCCGUACUUAACCUGAAACUGUUCUUAACCUGAAGCACUAUUUCUGGGUUAGCGGAGUCUGUAGCCUGAAGUGUAUGUAACCUGAAGCGUAUGUAAUCUGAGGUACCGCUGUAAUUUGACCCUAAAACUGUGUGUUUCAACUUUUGACUGUAAACGAUUAACCUCUUUCCUUACGGGUUGCGCCCCUUCCAAAAUAUAAAGGGUAGUAGCUAAAAAUGAUGUUUAAUGCAUAUAUAAGGAACAUCUAUCAUUGCUGUUUAUAGUUGUGUGUCUAUUCACUUACAGCCCAAUUAACAAAUGGUCCAAGAACAAACAACUGUUACUGCUAUUGAUUUGAAUGGAGCCCUGCCCCAAAUUCAUUGAAGUUAUGAAUGGAAUAGUUUUCAAGAACGUUAAGCCCUCGGGACAUCUCACAAACAAGAACUGGACUGGUUUUUUCUGCAUUUCCUACGACUGUAAAGUGAAUAAUCAGACAUCUCCCUGGGAUACACAGAUGGAGAAAUUGCAUGUGUGAAAAGGAUAUG
Molecule: long non-coding RNA, 937 nt
Filed under: Podarcis muralis (Common wall lizard)
Lineage: Eukaryota; Metazoa; Chordata; Lepidosauria; Squamata; Lacertidae
Description: lncRNA (ENSPMRG00000011713.1)
Source: RNAcentral